Molecule: long non-coding RNA, 1702 nt
Organism: Harmonia axyridis
Lineage: Eukaryota; Metazoa; Arthropoda; Insecta; Coleoptera; Coccinellidae
Exons: 2
Source: RefSeq, a predicted model, not a curated record
AUAUGUAACAUUGUUAUAUUACUGAAGUUACGUAUAUGAUACAUCUUCCAGCAUCCCUAAAAACAAUAUAACUCUGAUAUCUACUAGUGUGUAAUAUAGUUACAUAUCAUAUAUGUAACAUUCGCAAUAUAUAUUUUACAUUGCUAAUAUUAUGUAAAAGCUAUGUAAAUAUAGCAUAUUCAUGAUAUAUUACUCAGAUCUAUACAAGUACUCUUAUAAUACAUAACCUUUAUUAAAGUUGAACUGUUUAGAGAUUUUUGCCAGGACUAGUGCAGUGAAAAGUGAUAUGCAUUUUCUAACUUUUGAUUGUUAGUUAGAAGUGAUGAACUAUAAUAAUAAUAAUAUUCAAUAUUCUUUGAUUUUUCAUCAAUUCCGGAUUACUUUCAUCGUGGAAAUAUGUGAGAUAAGAAGUGAAAAACUGUAAUAAUAAUAUUCAACAUUCGAUGAUUUUUCACCAAUUCCAGAUUAGUUUCAUAGUGAAAAUAUGUGAGAGUGAGGAAUCACCUCCUGAAGUUUACUCAUGUAUUCAAAACUUUCUAUUAUGUAAGAAAUUUGUUAUUUAUCCAAUCAGGAAACCUCGUUACUGAGAAUUUUAAUUGUAAAUACCAUUUUUUAAUAACAUUCCAAUAUGUUUAGGUUUUGCAUCUCAAUCUUUUAUCCAAUGUGCAGACUUUGAGAAGAUAGAUAUCAGCCGAGUGGAUAAGGCUGGCCACAUUGAGGAUCAAGAGACAAAAAUAAGUUUUGGUUGAUGUAGGUAGUUUGAUUACAUUAAAAAUUUUCAAUAAUUCUAUGAUCUUUCAUUUAACAAACACCCAAUUGUUAAAUUAUUAAAUCCUGUUUUACUAUUCAUAAAUUAUUUGUAAUAUUUCAAAUGUGGGGCAUACCAAACGUAGGAAUCUGAUUUUUGUUGAAUUUUCUAGGUUCAAAAUAAUAAUAUUGUUGACUAAAAAAUAUCUUUCUAGCAAAAAAUGAAAGAUGGAGUUUAAAUAUAUAUUUUUGGAAUGCACCUUAAUUCAUAAGUAUCUCUUUUCAUGUAAUUUAUAAGUGAUAUAUCUCUUAUUAAUUGAUGUUGGCUAGAUACCAGCAGUUUUAGUUUCAAUUGGUAUUGUGUAUCAUUUGUUAUAUUUUUGUUUGGAAGGUAUUGAAAAAAAUUCCAACAAAUUCACUAAAACAUAAUUUGUGUGGUGUCGGCAUAUUUAGAUUUUUUAUAUGUAGUUUGAUUAGUUUUUCCUCCAGAAAGAAUUGUACAGGUAUGUAUUGUUUUUGAAUUGCAUAGAGAAUUUACUUCUGAGUACCUAUAUGUAAUAUAAACAUUCAGAUAACUAUUACAUUUUUCUUAUGUCUCUUGUUUGUAGCAGAUAUAUUUCUUUUGGUUAUAUCACAUAGAACGGAUAAAUUUUUUUAUAUUGCAUGGUGAACUUUUUACUGAGUAUAUAUUAUGUAAUAUAACCAUAUAUAGGUUGGCCCAGUUCUUGUAGAGUAACUUGGUGUAUUCACUUUUAGGAUGAAAGCGUCAUAGUCACUUUAUAGGUCAAUAAAUUCACAAAAACAUAAGGAGGUUAUUGACAUCAGGUUGUUCAAAAUUAAAGAUUUUAUUGAUAAAUCUGGUAACUUGAACAACCUCGAUAUAACUUCCUUAUUAUGAAAUUACGACCCAUAUUCAUAUUAUGUUUUCAUCUUAAAAACUGAAAACUCUCACAAC